AAAAUAUCUUACUACUUUCUUAGUAACUGCUCAUUCCCCACGAUCUCAAAAUUACCCCCUCCUUCCAACUCUCUCCCACUUUAAUUGACGAAAUCACUGUAACUUCUUCUUCUUCUCUUCUUUUUCAUAACCUUAGAUCCUCCAUUCUUUCUUCUAAAUCCUCCAUUCUUUCUCAUAUCUUUUUUUUAAAUGAGAAGUCGAGCACCAUCCACUAUCUUUUAAUUUUUUGUUUUAUUUUAAAUCUAUAUUGAAUAUAAAAAAACAGUUUCUAAUCAGGCCUCAAAAUCGUCUUUCAUGCCCGAUCACGAGUAUAAUGGCUCCAUCAAUUCCCGGUCCAUCCUCAGCGAUUGUUCAAUUCAAGUAAGUUUUGAAAACAAAGUUUGGAAGAUUAACGUUCAAGUCAUGAUUGAUUUAUAAGUAAUUCCAAUCAUUUUUUUUUGUAUGCUUAAUUUCUAUCUUCUAAUUCUACUUUUCUCAUGAUUGUUGGGCGUGCUCACAAAUUACAAUGGUUAUUUUCGAUUCAGCUUUAUUAAAUUUUACUCAUUUGAAUUUUAUCUCUGAUUUUCUUUUUUUGUGGCCAUCUAAUUAAGUUUUUUUUGGUUUCUAAAUCUCAUAAACUUGGUUUGCAAGCGUGUCUGGAAAAUUAGGAGAUGGAGCAAAGACUUUCCACAACCAGUAACGUAUAGAUGACUUUAUAUUAAUAAUUAUGUAGUAUGCUCACAAAUUUUGUCCGUCUUCCAUCAAUAAUUUGUUUGUUUCAUAUUUUUGAAAUUUAACUAAUUAGAUAAUAGAUUCAAUGGUGGAAGCCCCCUUGGCCCAUUGGUUGACCAAGGGUUCAUUAAUGCUUCUACAUCCAGAGGUCUGGGGUUCGAGUCCUAGAUACUGCGAUUUAUUAAUAAAUUUGCAGAUUAUUGGAGGCAAGUGUGCAGGAGAUCUCCAGCGAUGUACAAUUAUAGCCGUUCGCCAGGAUUCUACACGGAGAAUGAAGUGUCCAUCAAAAACCAUGAAGAAGGAGGUGCAGGAGGUGAGCAUGAAGAAGGAGGUGAAGGAGGUCGUGGAUCUAAUAAGGGUCGGAAGGAAUUGUCCGUUGUAGAAUCGUCUAUGUAACAGUUCUCAUAAUUUGCAAUAAAUAAUAAAUCCAGACGACAAAAAAAAAAAGAUAAUAGAUUCAAUGAACUUCUAUUUAAAAAAAAAACUAAAUGCAACAUAUAUUUGAUUCCCAAAAUAUU
RNAcentral lists this long non-coding RNA (1229 nucleotides) under Arabidopsis lyrata. RNAcentral describes it as "long non-coding RNA (ALYR_LNC001421)". The record is from RNAcentral. Lineage: Eukaryota; Viridiplantae; Streptophyta; Magnoliopsida; Brassicales; Brassicaceae.